RNAcentral lists this ribosomal RNA (433 nucleotides) under uncultured bacterium. RNAcentral describes it as "partial 16S ribosomal RNA". It matches the Rfam family "Bacterial small subunit ribosomal RNA", at positions 29 to 507 of the family's 1533-position model. The record is from RNAcentral.
AACGAACGCUGGCGGCAUGCCUAACACAUGCAAGUCGAACGAGACCUUCGGGUCUAGUGGCGCACGGGUGCGUAACGCGUGGGAACCUGCCCUUAGGUUCGGAAUAACUCCCCGAAAGGGGUGCUAAUACCGGAUAAUGUCUUCGGACCAAAGAUUUAUCGCCUUUGGAUGGGCCCGCGUUGGAUUAGCUAGUUGGUAGGGUAAAAGCCUACCAAGGCGACGAUCCAUAGCUGGUCUGAGAGGAUGAUCAGCCACACUGGGACUGAGACACGGCCCAGACUCCUACGGGAGGCAGCAGUGGGGAAUAUUGGACAAUGGGGGAAAGCCUGAUCCAGCACUGCCGCGUGAGUGAUGAAGGCCUUAGGGUUGUAAAGCUCUUUUAACCGGGAUGAUAAUGACGGUACCGGGAGAAUAAGCUCCGGCUAACUCCGUG